This 1169-nucleotide ribosomal RNA is filed under the name Cephalophus jentinki (Jentink's duiker). RNAcentral's name for it is "16S ribosomal RNA". It matches the Rfam family "Bacterial large subunit ribosomal RNA", at positions 192 to 2290 of the family's 2925-position model. Lineage: Eukaryota; Metazoa; Chordata; Mammalia; Artiodactyla; Bovidae. The record is from RNAcentral.
ACUAUUCCUAGCCCAAACCCUACCUUCAGUAAAAUAACUAAAACAAAAUAAAACAAAACAUUUACCCUAAUUUAAAGUAUAGGAGAUAGAAAUUCUAAACAUGGCGCUAUAGAGAAAGUACCGCAAGGGAACGAUGAAAGAUAUAAUUAAAGUACAAAAAAGCAAAGAUUACCCCUUGUACCUUUUGCAUAAUGAGUUAACUAGCAAAAAACUUAGCAAAACGAAUUUUAGCUAAGUAACCCGAAACCAGACGAGCUACUUAUGGGCAGUUAAUUAAGAACCAACUCAUCUAUGUGGCAAAAUAGUGAGAGGACCUAUGAGUAGAGGUGACACGCCUAACGAGCCUGGUGAUAGCUGGUUGUCCAGAAAAUGAAUUUCAGUUCAGCUUUAAAGAUGCCAAAAAUCUAUACAAAUCCUACUGUAUCUUUAAAAGUUAGUCUAAAAAGGUACAGCCUUUUAGAAACGGAUACAACCUUGACUAGAGAGUAAGAUCUAAUAACACCAUAGUAGGCCUAAAAGCAGCCAUCAAUUAAGAAAGCGUUAAAGCUCAACAAUUCAGACAAUAUUAAUCCCAAUAACAAACAACUAACUCCUAGCCCCAAUACUGGACCACUCUAUUAUCAAAUAGAAGCAAUAAUGUUGACAUGAGUAACAAGAAAUACUUUCUCCUUGCAUGAGCCUAAGUCAGUAUCUGAUAAUACCCUGACCAUUAACAGUAAAUAAAAACAAUCCAACAAUAAACAAUUUAUUAACUAUACUGUUAACCCAACACAGGAAUGCACUCAAGGAAAGAUUAAAAGAAGUAAAAGGAACUCGGCAAACACAAACCCCGCCUGUUUACCAAAAACAUCACCUCCAGCAUCCCUAGUAUUGGAGGCACUGCCUGCCCAGUGACAAACGUUAAACGGCCGCGGUAUCCUGACCGUGCAAAGGUAGCAUAAUCAUUUGUUCUCUAAAUAAGGACUUGUAUGAAUGGCCACACGAGGGUUUUACUGUCUCUUACUUCCAAUCAGUGAAAUUGACCUUCCCGUGAAGAGGCGGGAAUAAGCAAAUAAGACGAGAAGACCCUAUGGAGCUUUAACUAAUUAGUCCAAAGAAAACAAACUUAACCAUCAAGGGAUAACAACACCCUCCAUGGACUAACAGCUUUGGUUGGGGUGACCUCGGAG